Molecule: long non-coding RNA, 297 nt
Organism: Diorhabda carinulata
Lineage: Eukaryota; Metazoa; Arthropoda; Insecta; Coleoptera; Chrysomelidae
Exons: 3
Source: RefSeq, a predicted model, not a curated record
UGUACGCGUGUAUUUAUAUCUAAUAUCUUUCGUACCUACGGAUUUUUUUAUACAUAGUGUAAAAAUCGAAUGGAAUGGACAUUCUUUAACGAGAAUUGUUAAUGACAGGGAGUCUGGCCUUUCUCGGAAACUAUCGACAGGUCAAGAUAGAUGAGAAGGAUUUUCAUCCAUCAAAUGGACAGGACAUUUUCUACGAUUUUAUGUCAGGCACGUAAUUCGAUUUACUUCAAGAGUUUACAACGCGGCAAGGCGUAAGAUUGGCGUUUCGACACGAAUAAGUCAGUCACCUACAGAGAA